Anolis carolinensis (green anole) is the source of this 823-nucleotide long non-coding RNA. RefSeq lists it as uncharacterized. The record is from RefSeq and is a predicted model, not a curated record. The transcript has 3 exons. NCBI's taxonomy places the organism in Eukaryota, Metazoa, Chordata, Lepidosauria, Squamata, Anolidae.
GUUUUCCCCUGACAUUAAGUCCAUUAUAAAUGGGUUAUAUAGCUGUGUGGAAGGGCCUUGAGUCUACACUGCCAUACAAUCCAGUUAAAAUCAGAUAAUCUGUAUUUUAUAGGCAGUGUGGAAGAGGCCUAAGUGAGGCCUAACUGUGCCUGUCCUCUGGGCUGAGUGGGUUGCUAGGAGACCAAGUGGGUGGAGCUUAGCCUUCUAACUGGCAGCAAUUGGAUAAAAACAAUUAUUCCUCUCCCUCUAAUUAGGACUUUAUUUUUCUUUUCUUUUUGUUGUUACACAUGGCUAGUGGUCUGCUAAUGGGAGUUGUGUCAGGGAUCUCGAAGGCAGGGUUCCUGUUACAGAAUAGGUUCUGUAUGCUUUGGAGAUUCUAUAUACCUGUCUCUGGUGAUUCUGAAUAAGAUGCUCCUCCACUUUUGUGUUGAACUUGCUGACGUGGAAGACCAGCCCAUUCCCUGUGGUUCACAAGGAGACUGAUUUAUACCAUUCUCCAAGCACUCCCCAAGUGCUUAACAGUGGCCUUGCUUACUGUUGCAGCAAAAUGUGACUGUAGAUAGUUGUACGAUCUUAGACUGUAGAUGUAGAUAUCUCAAUGCUGCUGCUAUCCAUCCGCACCUUCGCACCAGAGAAGAUGUCCUUUAGUUCCAUGGGUUUGUCAGAGUAAAGCAGGGAAUCUCUGAAGACUCUUCCAGACAGCAGCUUCCUGUGUUGGACUGUGCCACAGUGGCUCCAAGAAUGGCUGACAGGAGAAUAAAGAUAAGGUAACCCCUGCUCCUGGCAGAUGUGGGACGAGAAAAGAGAAUAAGAAAUACCAGGU